This 357-nucleotide ribosomal RNA is filed under the name Corynebacterium sp. BCW_4722. Its description in RNAcentral is "bacterial LSU rRNA". It matches the Rfam family "Bacterial large subunit ribosomal RNA", at positions 1242 to 1613 of the family's 2925-position model. The record is from RNAcentral. Lineage: Bacteria; Bacillati; Actinomycetota; Actinomycetes; Mycobacteriales; Corynebacteriaceae.
UAUUUGCGUUGAAGGUAUACCGGUAAGGAGUGCUGGAGCGAAUACAAGUGAGCAUGCAGGCAUGAGUAGCGAUAAUUGGGGUGAGAAUCCCCAACGCCGUAAACCCAAGGUUUCCUACGCGAUGCUCGUCAUCGUAGGGUUAGCCGGGUCCUAAGCAAAGUCCGAAAGGGGUAUGCGAUGGAAAAUUGGUUAAUAUUCCAAUGCCAACUAUAAUGUGCGAUGGAAGGACGCUUAGAGUUAGAGGAGCCAGCGGAUGGUAGUGCUGGUCGAAAGGUGCAGGUUGGAGUUCAGGCAAAUCCGAACUCCUUUAAGCCGAGGCCUUACAGGUGCGUGAAGUUCUUCGGAAUGAAUCGUAAA